ACAAUUUCCAACAGAACAUAUCCUGACUCAUGCUCGUUCAAUAACUACUGGAAGCGUCUGUUAUGAUAUCAAAUCCAAACAAAAUUCUGUAUGUUCCAGUCAGAUGUUGAAGAAUUAAACAGACAAAAAGUGAAUAACUGUCGUGUUUGUUGGACUAAUCUGAAAACCUACUACGAGUAUAAUGGGUCAAUAAAACGUACAUUUAGAUGUCGUUCAAAAAUACUUGCUGUAUGUAUGGAAAACAAACAUCCGGAUCCUAUACAAGUGUAUAAUAUCUGAUCUAUAGCGUAUGAUAGUAUGUGAGAAACAUACUUCGUAGUAACUGAAUAAUUUUUAGCUGUUGAGAAAUACUGAAAAUGGACCUAUUAUUGUUCGCGUGUGACGCAUUGUCUUUCCUGCAACCUUGAACUUGACGAAAGAACGUUGUGGUAAUAACGAACCUGUGUGCAAAUUUAAAAUUCAAUCUCUUAUGGCAUUGAAAGCAAAAUAUUCGGGACAAUUGGCUUAUAUUUGAACAAUCAUUCCUAUAUGAUAACUAUGAACAUGCAUGUGCAUACGAAUAUGGUACAAUUGCGAUGUUGAAUAACAACAAAUUGGUAUCAAAACACUAGAAAAUUCCACAAGAAACUGCAAGAAGAAUGUUGACAGUCCACGAACUAGGUUGUGGAAGAAUGUUGGUCAGAAUGUUGGUGAUGAAACCUUUAAAAUACUCGAACAUUCUAGAGCUUGGGCUUUAAAAGUUGACAAUCUUAUUGUAGCUUUGCUCAGAGAGUGAGUAUAACCACAAAGUCUGAAGGGUAUCGAUAUUGACCAGAGAUACUCCAGCUAAUUUUACCGGCUUAACAAAAUGUCCUCAGGCUUUUCUAUGCUUUCUAAGAACAAAAUAUUGAUAGCCGUUUGAGUGACUGCUAAUUAUUUUCAUAUUUUUAUCAAGGAUGAGAUUUCUGUAUCGAACACUGCUUAAUUCAGAUUUUUGGCUUUCAAAAGGGACGCCCUGUCUGGUUUAACCUCUAUUUGUCUCAAAUCUCUGGCACUCGACGUCUUUCAAACAACCUACUCUUAAAGCUCACUCACAUUCAAUGAGUAGAGGUUCAAUCUGAGCUUCCCUCGAGUGUCAAUGCUGUUUUUGAAUAGAUAGAGGGCCAGUGUCAUACCUUGCUAUGCGACUACUCACCCUCCAGCUAUUCAAAAACAACAUUGGCACUCAAGAGAAGCUCAGAUUGAACCUCACACUCUCUUGAAUGUGAGUGAGCUUUUGUGUGUGAGAUGGGCGUUACAGUCUGAUGUCCUGUGUAAGAUCAUAUUUUAAUCCAUAUCAUGAACUAGAAUGGUUCUUUUUUCAGACUUUGUUUCGUAUUAUAUUUUUAUUGAAAAUUGUCGCCCGCUACAAGUGGUUAUACUCGCAUCUAUAGAGCGCGCAUAUCUAGAAGGGUAUUGAAAAUGAUAUAGCAAGUAGUAAAUAUAGCCAAAUAGAUUAUUAGAAGCUUGGGAGUACGCCAAGUUAAAGACAUUUAGCAUCACAAUGGGACAUUUGAAGGCCAAAAUCCAGUGUGCUUUAUGAUAAUAAACGAUAUACUAUAAAUCUUACAAUGAACAGAAUAUAUAGUUAAUCCGUUUGCAUGCCUAAUUGAUAGCAUAUAUUGUAUAGAAUUUGUAGCAAUAGCGCAUGUCUUAAACUUGUAAAUAUAUUUGUUUGAAUUGACUGC
Molecule: long non-coding RNA, 1706 nt
Filed under: Paramuricea clavata
Lineage: Eukaryota; Metazoa; Cnidaria; Anthozoa; Malacalcyonacea; Plexauridae
Source: RNAcentral